GUACUGUGCGAACGUUAUUCGGAAUCACUGGGCUUAAAGGGUGCGUAGGCGGCCGUUCAAGUCGGGUGUGAAAUCUCUCGGCUCAACCGAGGAAUUGCGCUCGAAACUAGACGGCUUGAGUAAGAUAGGGGUGUGUGGAACUUCCAGUGGAGCGGUGAAAUGUGUUGAUAUUGGAAGGAACGCCGGUAGCGAAAGCGACACACUGGGUCUUAACUGACGCUGAGGCACGAAAGCCAGGGUAGCGAACGGGGAUUAGAUACCCCGGUAGUCCUGGCUGUAAACGUUGAGCACUAGACGGGAGGGACUUCGGUUCAUCCGGUCGCAGCGAAAGCACUAAGUGCUCCGCCUGGGGGAGUAUGGUCGCAAGGCUG
RNAcentral lists this ribosomal RNA (371 nucleotides) under uncultured organism. RNAcentral describes it as "partial 16S ribosomal RNA". It matches the Rfam family "Bacterial small subunit ribosomal RNA", at positions 527 to 896 of the family's 1533-position model. The record is from RNAcentral.